Molecule: ribosomal RNA, 253 nt
Filed under: uncultured bacterium
Lineage: Bacteria
Description: partial 16S ribosomal RNA
Rfam family: Bacterial small subunit ribosomal RNA
Source: RNAcentral
UACGAAGGGAGCUAGCGUUGUUCGGAAUCACUGGGCGUAAAGCGCACGUAGGCGGAUUUGUCAGUCAGGGGUGAAGUCCCGGGGCUCAACCUCGGAACUGCCUUUGAUACAGCAAGUCUUGAGUUCGAGAGAGGUGGGUGGAAUUCCUAGUGUAGAGGUGAAAUUCGUAGAUAUUAGGAAGAACACCGGUGGCGAAGGCGGCCCACUGGCUCGAUACUGACGCUGAGGUGCGAAAGCGUGGGGAGCAAACAGG